UACUCUUUUGGAAGUGCCUAAA
This 22-nucleotide small nuclear RNA is filed under the name Arabidopsis thaliana (thale cress). RNAcentral's name for it is "snRNA_02127". Lineage: Eukaryota; Viridiplantae; Streptophyta; Magnoliopsida; Brassicales; Brassicaceae. The record is from RNAcentral.